UCAGGCCUAACACAUGCAAGUCGAACGGCAGCACGGGUGCUUGCACCUGGUGGCGAGUGGCGAACGGGUGAGUAAUACAUCGGAACGUACCUUAUCGUGGGGGAUAACGCAGCGAAAGUUGCGCUAAUACCGCAUACGCCCUGAGGGGGAAAGCGGGGGACCGUAAGGCCUCGCGCGAUUAGAGCGGCCGAUGUCUGAUUAGCUUGUUGGUGAGGUAAAAGCUCACCAAGGCGAUGAUCAGUAGCUGGUCUGAGAGGACGAUCAGCCACACUGGGACUGAGACACGGCCCAGACUCCUACGGGAGGCAGCGGUGGGGAAUUUUGGACAAUGGGGGCAACCCUGAUCCAGCAAUGCCGCGUGAGUGAAGAAGGCCUUCGGGUUGCAAAGCUCUUUUGUCAGGGAAGAAACAGCAGCUCUAACACAGUUUGCGAAUGAC
Molecule: ribosomal RNA, 437 nt
Filed under: uncultured bacterium
Lineage: Bacteria
Description: bacterial SSU rRNA
Rfam family: Bacterial small subunit ribosomal RNA
Source: RNAcentral